This is a small nuclear RNA of Molossus molossus (Pallas's mastiff bat), 103 nucleotides long. The record is from RefSeq and is a predicted model, not a curated record. NCBI's taxonomy places the organism in Eukaryota, Metazoa, Chordata, Mammalia, Chiroptera, Molossidae.
GUGCUUGCUUCGGCAGCACAUAUACUAAAAUUGGAACGAUACAGAGAUUAGCCUGGCCCUGUGAAAGGAUGACACGCAAAUUCAUAAAGCAUUCCAUAAAAAA